This 261-nucleotide long non-coding RNA is filed under the name Salvia miltiorrhiza (redroot sage). RNAcentral's name for it is "long non-coding RNA (SMIL_LNC014214)". The record is from RNAcentral. Lineage: Eukaryota; Viridiplantae; Streptophyta; Magnoliopsida; Lamiales; Lamiaceae.
UUCAAUAAAAAUGGGAAUUUUAUUAUAUUUUGGCUGUAAAUGUAUUAUAAUUUUAUGAGUCAAUACAUCAAAUUAGCCACUUUAAUAUAGUAAAAUUAAAAUUUACCUACUCAAAUUAAAAAAAAGUAAUAGCCACUUUUUAUGUCAAAUAACAAACUUACCCCUAAGAUUAAAAUUAAAAAAAUACCUACUAAUAUAUCAUCACAAAUACACUACACAUUUUCAAAAAAAAAAAAAAAUCACAAAUCUCAUCUCUCUCUC